AUAGCCUCUGGCUAUAGGAAAUUGUUAGUGGCAGACGGGUGAGUAAUGCGUAGGAAUCUACCUAGUAGUACGGAAUAGCCAUUAGAAAUGGUGGGUAAUACUGUAUAAUCCCCGAGGGGGAAAGAUUUAUCGCUAUUAGAUGAGCCUACGUUAGAUUAGCUAGUUGGUGAGGUAAUGGCUUACCAAGGCUAUGAUCUAUAGCUGGUCUGAGAGGACGAUCAGCCACACUGGAACUGAGAUACGGUCCAGACUCCUACGGGAGGCAGCAGUGRGRAUAUUGGACAAUGGGCGAAAGCCUGAUCCAGCUAUGCCGCGUGA
This 318-nucleotide ribosomal RNA is filed under the name Ehrlichia sp. RNAcentral describes it as "bacterial SSU rRNA". It matches the Rfam family "Bacterial small subunit ribosomal RNA", at positions 73 to 404 of the family's 1533-position model. Lineage: Bacteria; Pseudomonadati; Pseudomonadota; Alphaproteobacteria; Rickettsiales; Anaplasmataceae. The record is from RNAcentral.